This 117-nucleotide ribosomal RNA is filed under the name Diaphorina citri (Asian citrus psyllid). The record is from RNAcentral. Lineage: Eukaryota; Metazoa; Arthropoda; Insecta; Hemiptera; Psyllidae.
UCUAUUGGCGAUAAGCCAUUGAAUUCACCAGUUUCUAAACGCUCACGGAAGUUAAGCAAUGUUGCGCGUGAUGGUACCAGAAUGGGUGGGAUUGUGGGUGAUCAUGUGCUGAUGGGU